AUUGAACGCUGGCGGAAUGCUUUACACAUGCAAGUCGAACGGCAGCACGGACUUCGGUCUGGUGGCGAGUGGCGAACGGGUGAGUAAUGUAUCGGAACGUGCCCAGUCGUGGGGGAUAACGUAGUGAAAAUUACGCUAAUACCGCAUACGAUCUAUGGAUGAAAGCGGGGGAUCGCAAGACCUCGCGCGAUUGGAGCGGCUGAUAUCAGAUUAGGUAGUUGGUGGGGUAAAGGCCCACCAAGCCAACGAUCUGUAGCUGGUCUGAGAGGACGACCAGCCACACUGGAGCUGAGACACGGUCCAGACUCCUACGGGAGGCAGCAGUGGGGAAUUUUGGACAAUGGGCGAAAGCCUGAUCCAGCCAUUCCGCGUGCAGGAUGAAGGCCGUCGGGUUGUAAACUGCUUUUGUACAGAACGAAAAGGUUUCUACUAAUACUAGGAGCUCAUGACGGUACUGUAAGAGUAAGCACCGGCUAACUACGUGCCAGCCGCCGCCGUAA
RNAcentral lists this ribosomal RNA (500 nucleotides) under uncultured bacterium. RNAcentral describes it as "partial 16S ribosomal RNA". It matches the Rfam family "Bacterial small subunit ribosomal RNA", at positions 30 to 523 of the family's 1533-position model. The record is from RNAcentral.